Vigna unguiculata (cowpea) is the source of this 205-nucleotide long non-coding RNA. The record is from RefSeq and is a predicted model, not a curated record. NCBI's taxonomy places the organism in Eukaryota, Viridiplantae, Streptophyta, Magnoliopsida, Fabales, Fabaceae.
GCACGGAAGAAGAAUGAGAUGGAGCAAGAGCUUGGUCGCAAAGUUAGUAGGGGAGAAGUUUGGAUAGCAACACAUAAACAUGCUAAUGGGGAAUUUGUGAAUGAUGGAGCAAGAGAGAUUGGAGAAAAAAUUAAAGCAUAUGAGACAAAUACAUCUUCCCUUUCACAAGAUAUAUCAAUUGAAGAUUCACUAGCUCAUGUUCUAG